GAGGAUGUUCCAUGGACACCUCAAGGCCUUGUGGACACCCCAAGGCCACCCUGGGGACACCCUGGGGACACUUCGUGGACAUCCCGUGGCCUCCUGGACACUCCUAGGACACCCCAUGGACACCCCAGGGCCCCAAGGCCACCUUGGGGACACUCCAAGGUCACCCUGUGGACACCCCAAGGCCACCCCAAGGCCUUGUGGUCACACCAUGGACACCCCAAGGCCACUCUAUGGACACCCCAUGGACACCUCAAUGUCCCCAAGGCCACCCUGGGGACACCCCAAGGUCACUCUAUGGACACCUCAAUGUCCCCAAGGCCACUCUGGGGACACCCCAAUGUCCCCAAGGCCACCCCACGGUACGAGCAGAACGGUUCCCUCGCGGUUCCCCAGGUA
This 396-nucleotide long non-coding RNA is filed under the name Ficedula albicollis (Collared flycatcher). RNAcentral's name for it is "lncRNA (ENSFALG00000023560.1)". The record is from RNAcentral. Lineage: Eukaryota; Metazoa; Chordata; Aves; Passeriformes; Muscicapidae.